CUCUGUCACACGUCGAAGAUCAGCUGUCAUCUCUCUCUCACACCUCGUCUCUUUCUCACACGCCAAAGAUCCGCCGCCGUCUCUCUUUCACACUUCCUCUCUCUCUCACACGUCGUCUCUCUCGCACGCUGACGAUGUCGAAUCCUUCUCCGGUUCAAUUUUCUCAGAUGGAGCAGCUGCAACAUGAAGAAGAAGACGAGCAUGUGAAAGUUGUGGCAAAGUCAAUGAGGAGCAGCUGCAACAUGAAGAAGAAGACGAGCAUGUGAAAGCUGGUGGUGAAGUCAAUGAGGAGCAGCCGCAACAUGAAGAAAACGAGCAUGUGGAAGCUGAUGGCGAAGUCAAUGAGACUAAUUCUAACAAUGUUGAAGUUGAUGCUGAAGUCAAGAAGCACGAGCAAGUUAAAGGAAAAACGAGGAAGAGGGAAAAAUGUAAAUAACUCUAUUUAUAACGACUUAUAAAAUGUAGAUUCUCCAUGGAUCAAAUUUUCUAUAUGAUGAUAAAAUAGGAUCAAGAAGAAGAUGAAGG
This is a long non-coding RNA of Raphanus sativus (radish), 525 nucleotides long. RefSeq lists it as uncharacterized. The transcript has 5 exons. NCBI's taxonomy places the organism in Eukaryota, Viridiplantae, Streptophyta, Magnoliopsida, Brassicales, Brassicaceae. The record is from RefSeq and is a predicted model, not a curated record.